RNAcentral lists this ribosomal RNA (583 nucleotides) under uncultured bacterium. Its description in RNAcentral is "partial 16S ribosomal RNA". It matches the Rfam family "Bacterial small subunit ribosomal RNA", at positions 357 to 937 of the family's 1533-position model. The record is from RNAcentral.
UGGGAAUUUGGACAAUGGGCGAAGCCUGAUCCAGCAAUGCCGCGUGUGUGAAGAAGGCCUUCGGGUUGUAAAGCACUUUUGUCCGGAAAGAAAUCCUUGGCUCUAAUACAGUCGGGGGAUGACGGUACCGGAAGAAUAAGCACCGGCUAACUACGUGCCAGCAGCCGCGGUAAUACGUAGGGUGCAAGCGUUAAUCGGAAUUACUGGGCGUAAAGCGUGCGCAGGCGGUUUGCUAAGACCGAUGUGAAAUCCCCGGGCUCAACCUGGGAACUGCAUUGGUGACUGGCAGGCUAGAGUAUGGCAGAGGGGGGUAGAAUUCCACGUGUAGCAGUGAAAUGCGUAGAGAUGUGGAGGAAUACCGAUGGCGAAGGCAGCCCCCUGGGCCAAUACUGACGCUCAUGCACGAAAGCGUGGGGGAGCAAAACAGGAUUAGAUACCCUGGUAGUCCACGCCCUAAACGAUGUCAACUAGUUGUUGGGGAUUCAUUUCCUUAGUAACGUAGCUAACGCGUGAAGUUGACCGCCUGGGGAGUACGGUCGCAAGAUUAAAACUUAAAGGAAUUGACGGGGUCAUAGCUGUUUCC